CUCUAUUUCAGGUACUCUUGUCAGAGCAUUGCAUUUCAUUGUCCCACAACCCCAGGAAUUAAGUACGGAUAUUAUCCUAUAAUAAAGGCAGAAAACUGGUGUUGGCACAGCUCGUCUAAGUCACAGAACGGCUAUCGGCAGAGUCAGGACGCCAGCAUCGGUACCUCCUAUCCUGACAUUUGUGCUUCCGUUUGCCAGGUCACCUACGCCCCUGGUCAGUGUGGCUCCCCCAGACCAGACUGAGCCCAUGUCACCCGCUGAGGAUGCCUUCCCUCGGGCACAGGUAGUCAGCACAGUCUCCCUGUGGCUUCUACGGGAGGGGUCUCAUGUUUUGUGUAUCAUGGCUUUGCAGCCCUGGACAUAUCAGAAUCUCUCACGUAAAGGCAUGCUCUUGUUUUGGCCAAGAGAUGUUUUGGCAAACUGAGGCCUGACAUAUGGUGAAAGAGGCAACAUUUUACCAGGAGGAACCAUAAUCCCACUUGGAGUGAUGGUUGGGGAGGUUUUAAUGGAAGAAGGAAGUGUUUGGGGAUUACAAUUCUUUCCAUUUCCCUCUUGAUUCUCUCCUGUACUCUCUAUCUCUUGCUGUGGGGACAGACGGAACUGCUCCCUGUUCUGUUUUACUCUGGACAAAACCCCAGGAAGGCACUUCUGCCCGGUGCUUUACAUGCUCUGCAAUACUUAAAAGAAAGAAGCCCCGAUGGAAAACACAGAUACGGACAGCACGUUUUUUUCAUGGCGGAUGCACCUUCUGGUGCCUCCUAUCCGGGCAUCCUGUCUAGACCAGUCCUUACGGCAGUGCUGUGAAGGAUGGUCCCAUCAUGCCCAUGUCAUAGAUGAGGCAACAGAGGUCAGGAUUGCUAAACAGCUCUCCAUCAGCACGGUGACUCUUCUCGACUUCUGCCAACACGGACAGCAUGAGCAGCAGAAAGACACAGACCAACAUUGCUUCUCUUUGGGUUCUUGUCACCUCCUGCCUCUUGGCCCCUGCUCACAGCAGGUAAGGAGAACCAAUUACACCACCAUAACACUGGCUAUUCUGGUGUGCUGUAAAGGGAAACCCUGCUGGGCACGGG
This is a long non-coding RNA of Acinonyx jubatus (cheetah), 1073 nucleotides long. RefSeq lists it as uncharacterized. The transcript is spliced from 5 exons. The record is from RefSeq and is a predicted model, not a curated record. Lineage: Eukaryota; Metazoa; Chordata; Mammalia; Carnivora; Felidae.